Molecule: small nuclear RNA, 107 nt
Organism: Ictidomys tridecemlineatus (thirteen-lined ground squirrel)
Lineage: Eukaryota; Metazoa; Chordata; Mammalia; Rodentia; Sciuridae
Source: Ensembl
GUGCUUGCUUUGGCAGCUCAUAUAUUUAAAUUGGAAUGAUAUAGAGAAUAUUAGCAUGGCCUCUGAGCAAGGAUGUCAUGAAAGCUUGUGAUACAUUUAUAUUUUUA